RNAcentral lists this ribosomal RNA (474 nucleotides) under uncultured bacterium. Its description in RNAcentral is "bacterial SSU rRNA". It matches the Rfam family "Bacterial small subunit ribosomal RNA", at positions 335 to 797 of the family's 1533-position model. The record is from RNAcentral.
ACUCCUACGGGAGGCAGCAGUAGGGAAGUCUUCCUACAAUGGGCGCAAGCCUGACGGAGGCAACACCGCGUGAGUGAAGAAGGGUUUCGGCUCGUAAAGCUCUGUUGUUAAAAAGAAACAACGUAUGAGAGUAACUGUUCAUACGUUGACGGUAUUUAACCAGAAAGUCACGGCUAACUACGUGCCAGCAGCCGCGGUAAUACGUAGGUGGCAAGCGUUAUCCGGAUUUAUUGGGCGUAAAGAGAGUGCAGGCGGUUUUCUAAGUCUGAUGUGAAAGCCUUCGGCUUAACCGGAGAAGUGCAUCGGAAACUGGAUAACUUGAGUGCAGAAGAGGGUAGUGGAACUCCAUGUGUAGCGGUGGAAUGCGUAGAUAUAUGGAAGAACACCAGUGGCGAAGGCGGCUACCUGGUCUGCAACUGACGCUGAGACUCGAAAGCAUGGGUAGCGAACAGGAUUAGAUACCCUGGUAGGAUA